Molecule: ribosomal RNA, 286 nt
Filed under: uncultured bacterium
Lineage: Bacteria
Description: partial 16S ribosomal RNA
Rfam family: Bacterial small subunit ribosomal RNA
Source: RNAcentral
GUGGAUUAGAUACCCUAGUAGUCCACGCCCUAAACGAUGGAUACUCGACAUACGCGAUACACAGUGUGUGUCUGAGCGAAAGCAUUAAGUAUCCCACCUGGGAAGUACGACCGCAAGGUUGAAACUCAAAGGAAUUGGCGGGGGUCCGCACAAGCGGUGGAGCAUGUUGUUUAAUUCGAUGAUACGCGAGGAACCUUACCUGGGCUAGAAUGCUAAGUGACCGUGGGUGAAAGCUCAUUUUGUAGCAAUACACACGUAGUAAGGUGCUGCAUGGUUGUCGACAACU